This 497-nucleotide ribosomal RNA is filed under the name uncultured bacterium. Its description in RNAcentral is "partial 16S ribosomal RNA". It matches the Rfam family "Bacterial small subunit ribosomal RNA", at positions 28 to 507 of the family's 1533-position model. The record is from RNAcentral.
GACGAACGCUGGCGGCGUGCCUAAUACAUGCAAGUUGAGCGCUGAAGGUUGGUACUUGUACCAACUGGAUGAGCAGCGAACGGGUGAGUAACGCGUGGGGAAUCUGCCUUUGAGCGGGGGACAACAUUUGGAAACGAAUGCUAAUACCGCAUAAAAACUUUAAACACAAGUUUUAAGUUUGAAAGAUGCAAUUGCAUCACUCAAAGAUGAUCCCGCGUUGUAUUAGCUAGUUGGUGAGGUAAAGACUCACCAAGGCGAUGAUACAUAGCCGACCUGAGAGGGUGGUCGGCCAAAUUGGGACUGAGACACGGCCCCAACUCCUACGGGAGGCAGCAGUAGGGGAUCUUCGGCCAUGGACGAAAGUCUGACCGAGCAACGCCGCGGGAGUGAAGAAGGUUUUCGGAUCGUAAAACUCUGUUGGUAGAGAAGAACGUUGGUGAGAGUGGAAAGCUCAUCAAGUGACGGUAACUACCCAGAAAGGGACGGCUAACUACGUG